Molecule: ribosomal RNA, 2012 nt
Filed under: metagenome
Description: bacterial LSU rRNA
Rfam family: Bacterial large subunit ribosomal RNA
Source: RNAcentral
UCAAGCUACUAAGGGCUGACGGUGGAUGCCUUGGCGUACAGAGGCGAUGAAGGACGUGGCUAGCUGCGAUAAUCUUCGGGUAGGUGCUAAGCAACCUUUGAUCCGGAGGUCUCCGAAUGGGAAAACCUCAACGGCUCGUCCGUUGAUCAUGCACUGAAUACAUAGGUGUAUGAGGCUAACCUGGUGAAGUGAAACAUCUCAGUAACCAGAGGAAAAGAAAUCAAAAUGAGAAUCCCUCAGUAGCGGCGAGCGAACGGGGAAUAGGCCAAACUGAUAGGAUUCGUCCUAUCAGGGUUGUAGGGCCCUCAACAUAGGACCGCAAGGGAAAGCAGAAACGACUGGAAAGAGUUCCAAAGAGGGUGAUAGACCCGUAUGCGAAAUCUUGAGCGGCUUUAGAGGGUACCUGAGUACCACAGGGCACGUGUAACCCGGUGGGAAUCUGGGAGGACCAUCUUCCAAGCCUAAUUACUACUGUACGACCGAUAGUGAACCAGUACCGUGAGGGAAAGGUGAAAAGUACCCCGGCUAGGGGCAGUGAAAUAGUACCUGAAACCGUCAGCUUACAAGCAGUUCGAGGACUAUAGCUUCGGCUACGUCUGAGAGCGUGCCUUUUGAAUGAUGAGUCCACGAGUUGCGUUACGUCGCAAGGUUAAGCCGUUAGGUGUAGCCGCAGGGAAACCGAGUAUGAAUAGUGCGUAUAGUGGCGUGACGCAGACCCGAAGCGUUGUGAUCUACACAUGGCCAGGAUGAAGCGCGGGUAAAACCGCGUGGAGGUCCGGACCCACCAAAGUUGAAAAUUUGGGGGAUGAGCUGUGUGUAGGGGUGAAAGGCUAAUCAAACUACGUGAUAGCUGGUUCUCUCCGAAAAAUAUUUAGGUAUUGCCUCGAGGCAUUCACUGCCGGCGGUAGAGCACUCAAAGGGCUAGGGGGCCUACCCGCUUACCAAACCCUAUGAAACUCCGAAUUCCGGCAAGUGUUAUCUCGGGAGGCAGACUGCGGGUGAUAAGAUCCGUAGUCGAGAGGGAAAGAGCCCAGAUCGUCAGCUAAGGUCCCUAAAUCCAUACUAAGUGGAAAACGAUGUGGGAGCGCUUAGACAACCAGGAGGUUGGCUUAGAAGCAGCCACCCUUUAAAGAAAGCGUAAUAGCUCACUGGUCAAGCGAACCUGCGCGGAAAAUAUAACGGGGCUCAAGUAUGGUACCGAAGCUACGAGUUCAGAAAUGAGCGGUAGGAGAGCAUUGGAGUUGCUGUUGAAGGUCAACCGUAAGGAUGGCUGGAGGUCCUCCAAGGGCAAAUGUGGACAUGAGUAGCGAUAAAACAGGUGAGAAACCUGUUCGCCGAAAACCUAAGGUUUCCUGGGGCAGGCUAAUCCGCCCAGGGUUAGUCGGGUCCUAAGCCGAGGCCUAGCGGCGUAGGCGAUGGACAGCAGGUUAAUAUUCCUGCACUACCAGUUUGGUGUAGAAGCCAGCAGGGACGGAGAAGGGUAGACGAGCCGAGGACGGAUUGCUCGGUUCAAGCAAGUAGGGGUCACUUAUACGAUCAAAAGGUAAGUGAGUUAUCCCCGAGACGUGAUGUAUAGGUUCUUAGCUUCGGCGGAACCAAUUCGUUGAUCCCAUGCUUCCAAGAAAAGCUGCGGGUGGAACCGUACUGGUACCCGUACUGUAAACCGACACAGGUAGGUAGGUCGAGAAGACCAAGGCGCUUGAGAGAACUCUGGUAAAGGAACUCUGCAAAUUAACACCGUAACUUUGGGAUAAGGUGUGCCGACGAGGGUGAUGGGACUUGCUCCCUAAGCUUUUGUCGGUCGCAGCUAAGCGGGGGUAGCGACUGUUUACCAAAAACACAGGCUUCUGCUAAAUCGUAAGAUGAUGUAUAGGAGCUGACUCCUGCCCGGUGCCGGAAGGUUAAGGGGAUUGCUUAGCGCAAGCGAAGGCAUGAGCCGAAGCCCCGGUAAACGGCGGCCGUAACAAUAACGGUCCUAAGGUAGCGAAAUUCCUUGGCGGGUAAGUUCCGUC